Molecule: long non-coding RNA, 618 nt
Organism: Pantherophis guttatus
Lineage: Eukaryota; Metazoa; Chordata; Lepidosauria; Squamata; Colubridae
Source: RefSeq, a predicted model, not a curated record
CUCAUAUUCCACACGUGUUUUCUAAAAUGGGUCAGGAUAAGAAAGCACAAUGCUUCAACUCAAGAGGUUGUCCUCCAUGUAGGGUCUCUAUCUAUGGACUAACUUCCAUUCCAUUGUCAAAGUUCAUUCCAGAACUUCAAAGUCAACCAGAGAAGGACAACAGAAGACCAGAAGAUCAACUGGUGGAGAUACAGAUUCAUGAGCUGGAAGAAGAGGGAACAGAGCUUGAAGACUUUCAACAAGACAAUGAACCAAUCCCAGAAGGGAUCCUUGUUGCUAAAAUAUGGAGCUUCUUACACGAUACUAUCAGAAAUACUGACGUGAGCUAUAAUUUGGUUGACAAGUCUGUUGUGUCAACAAUGACACUUGAUAGUGGAAUGUUUACACUCACAACGGCAUGGAGUUUGGAAGAGAAAUUGUUCAAGAAUCUGAAGAAGAUACUCCUCCUUCAAGUCAACCUUGACUCCUACUGAGCUGGAUGGCCAACUAUCUCCUUAACUAAGAAGAUGGAAGCUGUUUGCCUUGGUUUCCUUCUGGAUGCGAUCUUGACUUCCCAGCCUAGUCUUCUUUAUUUAUUACGGAUUUAUGUCUUGAAUUGAUUAAAAUUCAAAACCGCUU